Molecule: non-coding RNA, 345 nt
Organism: Microcebus murinus (gray mouse lemur)
Lineage: Eukaryota; Metazoa; Chordata; Mammalia; Primates; Cheirogaleidae
Source: RefSeq, a predicted model, not a curated record
CAGGCACUCUGCCUCCUGCCUUCUUCUAGGUUAGAGGGGGAAAAAAAGAUCCUUCAGCAGCUAAGGUGAAGAUACCAUUCAGGAUGCUGAAAUGGGACCUGGAAUACUCCUUAUUCCUUUUAAGGAAGAAAAGAUUACAAAAAUGGACACCGAAGUGGUAAGAAAAUUUUCUAAGGCUACAUGGCUGUUAGUAGCAUUUCAGAAAGAAGAAUACUGGUCCUCCUAUUACAAAUGCAAUGAACUUUCCGUGAGACCAUUCCAUGCUUAAUUAAAAGCAUGAAUCCCAGGAAUUUUGUCAGGAACUUCCUAGAGGUAGACUGGUAAAAUAAAGUGUGUGGCUCUCAA